This 290-nucleotide ribosomal RNA is filed under the name uncultured bacterium. RNAcentral's name for it is "partial 16S ribosomal RNA". It matches the Rfam family "Bacterial small subunit ribosomal RNA", at positions 337 to 619 of the family's 1533-position model. The record is from RNAcentral.
GCCUACGGGAGGCAGCAGUAGGGAAUCUUCCACAAUUUUCUCCCGCCUUAUGGAGCAACGCCGCGUGGGUGAAGAAGGUCUUCGGAUCGUAAAACCCUGUUGUUAGAGAAGAAAGUGCGUGAGAGUAACUGUUCACGUUUCGACGGUAUCUAACCAGAAAGCCACGGCUAACUACGUGCCAGCAGCCGCGGUAAUACGUAGGUGGCAAGCGUUAUCCGGAUUUAUUGGGCGUAAAGGGAACGCAGGCGGUCUUUUAAGUCUGAUGUGAAAGCCUUCGGCUUAACCGGAGU